UUAAAACUAGAGAGGAUCUAGGAACUGGAGCUGCUGCCUCUGUCUGCUAAGAUGUGAAGUCCAAGACUGAAAGUAACAUAGCAGAAGGAGAACCAAAAGAUAUGUUGAGUCUUGAUGCUAUUUGUUGAACCAGUCCUGAAUCCAGCUGUGUCGGAGUCAGCGCAGCUUUUGAAGCUGGAGAGCAUCAUAUUUUAGAAAGAUCAAGCAAUGUGGAUGAGGACACAUUAAAAAGAGAAGACCGAGAGGAGGGGACACCACUCAGGCUUAUAACCUCCAGCUCACAUUUCAGCACCAAAGGACCAAAGCCUAGACCUGAGAUCUGGCACUUGCAAAAAGAAAGAUCACCUGGAAGAACAAAAUAGAAGACUCCUGCUCCCAAUAGGCUUGGGUCAGGAAGAAGGCUGUUGGCAUAAUUGUGGAGUAGGAAGAUGGAAAACAACUCCUAGAGAUCCCAACAGCUGAACGCGUGCUUGGGCAGUGGCUGCGGGUGAAGUCAUGGGAAGGCAAGUCAUGAAGGGCAUUAAUCAAGGUUAUUUUUUCCACAGAUGAAUUUCUAAUCCUAAAUAAUCAUUUACAUGAAUUCAGAUUUUUUUGAUCCAGGAUAUGUUCUGGGAGUAACUCCCCUGCUUUCCCUGGAUGUGUGCGAGAAAGCAUAGGCAUCCACUUUCUGACCAACAGGAGACCCAGUCUCAGGAUGGAGCAGACACCAUGCAUGGUAGAGCAGAGAGACAGAUACAACCUAGGUCCUUGAUGAAAUGAUUGGCCACUGGAUCAGCCACAGUUAAAGACUGCCUACCUUUGGACUUCUGGUUAUCUUAGGCCAAAAAUGUCCUUUUUGUUUAAGGCACUUUGAGCCGGGUUUUCUAAGACCUAGCAGUCUCAACCAUCCAAACUAAUAAGCUGAAUUAACUAGAUUUCCUGUCAUGUCCUUCCUGCCUGAUUGGUAGCCCUUGACUCCAAUUUGGCCUCAUUUUCCGUACCUUACUGGCUGCCUUUUCCUCUACUCAUAGGUCACUUGGAAAUAAAAUAUAGAU
Homo sapiens (human) is the source of this 1034-nucleotide long non-coding RNA. Ensembl annotates it as LHFPL3 antisense RNA 1. Its record names the gene LHFPL3-AS1. The record is from Ensembl. NCBI's taxonomy places the organism in Eukaryota, Metazoa, Chordata, Mammalia, Primates, Hominidae.